This 83-nucleotide non-coding RNA is filed under the name Halobacteroides halobius. RNAcentral describes it as "c-di-GMP-II sequence". It matches the Rfam family "Cyclic di-GMP-II riboswitch aptamer". The record is from RNAcentral. Lineage: Bacteria; Bacillati; Bacillota; Clostridia; Halanaerobiales; Halobacteroidaceae. RNAcentral also lists the same sequence under 1 other name.
AAUAAUUUAGGAACGAUGAAGUAUAACUCAUAUUUGGUCACCUAGGUUAUAUGGAGUUAAUGGUGAAACCGUCCUAUAUUCUU